RNAcentral lists this ribosomal RNA (274 nucleotides) under Burkholderia sp. Bp8986. Its description in RNAcentral is "partial 16S ribosomal RNA". It matches the Rfam family "Bacterial small subunit ribosomal RNA", at positions 1 to 273 of the family's 1533-position model. Lineage: Bacteria; Pseudomonadati; Pseudomonadota; Betaproteobacteria; Burkholderiales; Burkholderiaceae. The record is from RNAcentral.
UUAAACUGAAGAGUUUGAUCCUGGCUCAGAUUGAACGCUGGCGGCAUGCCUUACACAUGCAAGUCGAACGGCAGCACGGGUGCUUGCACCUGGUGGCGAGUGGCGAACGGGUGAGUAAUACAUCGGAACAUGUCCUGUAGUGGGGGAUAGCCCGGCGAAAGCCGGAUUAAUACCGCAUACGAUCUAUGGAUGAAAGCGGGGGACCUUCGGGCCUCGCGCUAUAGGGUUGGCCGAUGGCUGAUUAGCUAGUUGGUGGGGUAAAGGCCUACCAAGG